This 253-nucleotide ribosomal RNA is filed under the name uncultured bacterium. RNAcentral describes it as "partial 16S ribosomal RNA". It matches the Rfam family "Bacterial small subunit ribosomal RNA", at positions 524 to 776 of the family's 1533-position model. The record is from RNAcentral.
UACGUAGGCAGCGAGCGUUGUUCGGAAUUACUGGGCGUAAAGGGCUCGUAGGCGGCCAACUAAGUCAGACGUGAAAUCCCCCGGCUUAACCAGGGAACUGCGUCUGAUACUGGAUGGCUUGAGUUUGGGAGAGGGAUGCGGAAUUCCAGGUGUAGCGGUGAAAUGCGUAGAUAUCUGGAGGAACACCGGUGGCGAAGGCGACAUCCUGGACCAACACUGACGCUGAGGCGCGAAAGCGUGGGGAGCGAACAGG